CCUACGUGUGGCUGCAGUGGGGAAUAUUGGGCAAUGGGCGAAAGCCUGACCCAGCAACGCCGCGUGAGGGAAGAAGGUCUUCGGAUUGUAAACCUCUGUCCUUGGGGACGAAAAAAAUGACGGUACCCAAGGAGGAAGCCCCGGCUAACUACGUGCCAGCAGCCGCGGUAAUACGUAGGGGGCGAGCGUUGUCCGGAAUUACUGGGCGUAAAGGGUGCGUAGGCGGUUUUUUAAGUCAGAUGUGAAAUCCCCGGGCUUAACUCGGGUGGUGCAUUUGAAACUGGGAGGCUAGAGUGCAGGAGAGGGAAGCGGAAUUCCUAGUGUAGCGGUGAAAUGCGUAGAUAUUAGGAGGAACACCAGUGGCGAAGGCGGCUUUCUGGACUGUAACUGACGCUGAGGCACGAAAGCGUGGGGAGCAAACA
RNAcentral lists this ribosomal RNA (422 nucleotides) under uncultured prokaryote. Its description in RNAcentral is "bacterial SSU rRNA". It matches the Rfam family "Bacterial small subunit ribosomal RNA", at positions 338 to 774 of the family's 1533-position model. The record is from RNAcentral.